GAUGAACGCUGGCGGCGUGCCUAAUACAUGCAAGUCGAGCGAAUGGAUUAAGAGCUUGCUCUUAUGAAGUUAGCGGCGGACGGGUGAGUGACACGUGGGUAACCUGCCCAUAAGACUGGGAUAACUACGGGAAACCGGGGCUAAUACCGGAUAACAUUUUGAGCCGCAUGGUUCGAAAUUGAAAGGCGGCUUCGGCUGUGACUUAUGGAUGGACCCGCGUCGCAUUAGCUAGUUGGUGAGGUAACGGCUCACCAAGGCAACGCUGCGUAGCCGACCUGAGAGGGUGAUCGGCCACACUGGGACUGAGACACGGCCCAGACUCCUACGGGAGGCAGCAGUAGGGAAUCUUCCGCAAUGGACGAAAGUCUGACGGAGCAACGCCGCGUGAGUGAUGAAGGCUUUCGGGUCGUAAAACUCUGUUGUUAGGGAAGAACAAGUGCUAGUUGAAUAAGCUGGCACCUUGACAGUACCUAACCAGAAAGCCACGGCUAACUACGUGCCAGCCGCCGCUGUAA
Molecule: ribosomal RNA, 515 nt
Filed under: uncultured bacterium
Lineage: Bacteria
Description: partial 16S ribosomal RNA
Rfam family: Bacterial small subunit ribosomal RNA
Source: RNAcentral